This 377-nucleotide ribosomal RNA is filed under the name uncultured bacterium. RNAcentral's name for it is "bacterial SSU rRNA". It matches the Rfam family "Bacterial small subunit ribosomal RNA", at positions 523 to 898 of the family's 1533-position model. The record is from RNAcentral.
AUACGUAGGUGGCAAGCGUUGUCCGGAAUUAUUGGGCGUAAAGCGCGCGCAGGCGGUCCUUUAAGUCUGAUGUGAAAGCCCCCGGCUCAACCGGGGAGGGUCAUUGGAAACUGGGGGACUUGAGUGCAGAAGAGGAGAGUGGAAUUCCACGUGUAGCGGUGAAAUGCGUAGAGAUGUGGAGGAACACCAGUGGCGAAGGCGACUCUCUGGUCUGUAACUGACGCUGAGGCGCGAAAGCGUGGGGAGCGAACAGGAUUAGAUACCCUGGUAGUCCACGCCGUAAACGAUGAGUGCUAAGUGUUGGAGGGUUUCCGCCCUUCAGUGCCGCAGCUAACGCAUUAAGCACUCCGCCUGGGGAGUACGACCGCAAGGUUGAA